CAACCAAUAGGCUUGUAGCCUGGGUGGGAUAAAAGUCCAGAAGGCUCACCACUUCCUGCUUCCUGCCUGCCAUGCCAUGGACUGUUUCUCCUCUGUGAUGCCCCUCUGCGGUGCCCCUCUGUGAUGCCACCCAGCCGACUAUGGAGUGAAACCUCUACCAGCUGCGAGCCGCAAUGGACCUUUCCUCCUUUAACUUGAACUGCCCACGGGGAUGCACCAAGACCUGGAAGUCUGGGGCUGGGGCGGUAAGGGCUUGUGAAAACUCAACUUGGAACAAAACCAAAUUACUUUCCAAGUGCAUCUUCCUUACUAAACAGCUCUACAAGGACGGAGACAUCUCUGCAGCUUUUGUCCCAGCUCGAGAACAGUGCCAGGUGUUUGCUGAAUGAAUGCAUGAACUGUGUCCGAUGGGUACCAAGUUCUGCAUCAGCAACUCUCCGUGUGUAACUGUUUCACCUUGUCAUCGACUCUGUGGCACGGGCAUUAUUAACCCUGGCUAGGAGUUACUCAUACAAGAACUUGGUGACUUCAUUUAAACUAGGAGUGGCACAGAUCUCCUCAUUCUCCCCGUCAGAACUACGACCCUAGAAACCGAGAGCAAGGAAGCAUCUGAAAAGGAGAAGUUAGUUCUGGGUAAGGGCUGGAAUUUAUGAUCAAAGUUGGCCCAGAAAGAGGAUGGA
Molecule: long non-coding RNA, 680 nt
Filed under: Heterocephalus glaber (naked mole-rat)
Lineage: Eukaryota; Metazoa; Chordata; Mammalia; Rodentia; Bathyergidae
Description: lncRNA (ENSHGLG00100034654.1)
Source: RNAcentral